UCUGCAGAGCGGUUGUUGUGGCAGUAUUGCCUGUUGAACCUCCUUCAAUCCCCCGUAUGGUCGGUCGAUGGCUCCGUCAUCCAGAGAUUGUAUUGAUUUCCUGAUUACUCUUCGAUCCUCAGUAGAGCGGAUUUUGUUGCAGAAUCUGCUGAUGUGAUCCGUCAGAUGUGUGUUCGCCCCGAGUAGAGUGGUUUGUUGCAGAAUCUACUUGUUUGGUGUUUU
Molecule: long non-coding RNA, 222 nt
Filed under: Lathyrus oleraceus (garden pea)
Lineage: Eukaryota; Viridiplantae; Streptophyta; Magnoliopsida; Fabales; Fabaceae
Description: Pisum sativum (pea) long non-coding RNA (PSAT_LNC018647)
Source: RNAcentral